Molecule: ribosomal RNA, 709 nt
Filed under: uncultured bacterium
Lineage: Bacteria
Description: bacterial SSU rRNA
Rfam family: Bacterial small subunit ribosomal RNA
Source: RNAcentral
AGCGGCGGACGGGUGAGUAACGCGUGGGUAACCUGCCCUAUACACACGGAUAACAUACCGAAAGGUAUGCUAAUACGAGAUAAUAUAAGAGAUUCGCAUGGAUUUCUUAUCAAAGCUGAGGCGGUAUAGGAUGGACCCGCGUCUGAUUAGCUAGUUGGUAAGGUAACGGCUUACCAAGGCGACGAUCAGUAGCCGACCUGAGAGGGUGAUCGGCCACAUUGAAACAGAGACACGGUCCAAACUCCUACGGGAGGCAGCAGUGGGGAAUAUUGCACAAUGGGCGAAAGCCUGAUGCAGCAACGCCGCGUGAGUGAUGAAGACCUUCGGGUCGUAAAACUCUGUCCUCAAGGAAGAUAAUGACGGUACUUGAGGAGGAAGCCCCGGCUAACUACGUGCCAGCAGCCGCGGUAAUACGUAGGGGGCUAGCGUUAACCGGAUUUACUGGGCGUAAAGGGUGCGUAGGUGGUCUCUUAAGUCAGGAGUGAAAGGCUACGGCUUAACCGUAGUAAGCUCUUGAAACUGGGAGACUUGAGUGCAAGAGAGGAAAGUGGAAUUCCUAGUGUAGCGGUGAAAUGCGUAGACAUUAGGAGGAACACCAGUAGCGAAGGCGGCUUUCUGGACUGUAACUGACACUGAGGCACGAAAGCGUGGGGAGCAAACAGGAUUAGAUACCCUGUAGUCCACGCCGUAAACGAUGAGUACUAGGUGU